RNAcentral lists this unclassified non-coding RNA (24 nucleotides) under Mus musculus (house mouse). RNAcentral describes it as "oocyte_clustered_small_RNA9351". Lineage: Eukaryota; Metazoa; Chordata; Mammalia; Rodentia; Muridae. The record is from RNAcentral.
GAGAGCGCACUAGAGCUCACUGAC